UUCAAAACAUUAUUUCAGCUUUAAAUCUGGAACCACGUACAAAUGGUUUUUUCCAUAACAGCUUUCAUCCCUAAGGUUGUCAUCUUUGCUUUGCUGCUCCUUGUGUCGUUCAAUGUUUCCGCGAUGAAUCAGCUCGUCGAAACCAAUAAAGCUGCUCGGAUAGCUAGUAAGACAAGGAUUGAAAAGAAGGGUGUGACGAAUGACAAAUGUAGAAGAUUAAUCGCUCGAGAGUUCGACUGGCCGCCUUGGAACGGAAAUUAUGCCAUCCCUCCUCCUUCUAAUCCUACUCGAUCUUGUUUAACAUGUUAAACUUAAUUAUAACUUUAUAUAUUUCUUAUAAAAAAGUUUUUGAGUUAUUUAAUGAUAGUUUAACAUCAAGUUGCAUUAGAAAAGAACAUGAUGUGAUUAUGCAUUCAAACUUCUACACCAUCAUUUUCUAUUGAUAUAAGUAUUAAAUUCAUCUUUGAACUAUAAAACUGCUUGUAUUUUUCGUUCA
Long non-coding RNA from Cucumis sativus (cucumber), 496 nucleotides. RefSeq lists it as uncharacterized. Lineage: Eukaryota; Viridiplantae; Streptophyta; Magnoliopsida; Cucurbitales; Cucurbitaceae. The record is from RefSeq and is a predicted model, not a curated record. The transcript is spliced from 2 exons.